Molecule: ribosomal RNA, 200 nt
Filed under: uncultured prokaryote
Description: partial 16S ribosomal RNA
Rfam family: Bacterial small subunit ribosomal RNA
Source: RNAcentral
CGUCAAGUCCUCAUGGCCCUUAUAGGUGGGGCUACACACGUCAUACAAUGGCUGGUACAAAGGGUUGCCAACCCGCGAGGGGGAGCCAAUCCCACAAAGCCAGUCGUAGUCCGGAUUGCAGUCUGCAACUCGACUGCAUGAAGUCGGAAUCGCUAGUAAUCGUGGAUCAGCAUGUCACGGUGAAUACGUUCCCGGGUCUU